RNAcentral lists this transfer RNA (76 nucleotides) under Caenorhabditis japonica. RNAcentral describes it as "tRNA CJA46839". The record is from RNAcentral. Lineage: Eukaryota; Metazoa; Nematoda; Chromadorea; Rhabditida; Rhabditidae.
UCCGUUGUGGUCUAGUGGUUAGGAUUUAUGGCUCUCACCCAUAACACAGGUGAAGGGCUUCAAAUCCAUAUCGGAU